UCGAGAAUCUUCGGCAAUGCGCGAAAGCGUGACCGAGCGACGCCGCGUGCGGGAUGAAGGCCUUCGGGUUGUAAACCGCGGUCGGAGGGGAGGAAAUCCGUGGGGGCUAUCCCCCACAGUUGACCUAUCCUCGACGAAGGACGGGCUAAGUUCGUGCCAGCAGCCGCGGUAAUACGAACCGUCCAAACGUUAUUCGGAAUCAUUGGGCUUAAAGGGUGCGUAGGCGGUGCAGUCAGUCGGGUGUGAAAUCCCUCGGCUUAACCGAGGAACUGCGCCCGAUACUGCUGUGCUUGAGGGAGACAGAGGUGAGCGGAACUGAUGGUGGAGCGGUGAAAUGCGUUGAUAUCAUCAGGAACACCAGUGGCGAAAGCGGCUCGCUGGGUCUCUUCUGACGCUGUGGCACGAAAGCUAGGGGAGCGAACGGGAUUAGAUACCCCCGUAGUCC
RNAcentral lists this ribosomal RNA (445 nucleotides) under uncultured prokaryote. Its description in RNAcentral is "bacterial SSU rRNA". It matches the Rfam family "Bacterial small subunit ribosomal RNA", at positions 355 to 796 of the family's 1533-position model. The record is from RNAcentral.